AGCAGCCGCGGUAAUUCCAGCUCCAAUAGCGUAUAUUAAAGUUGUUGCAGUUAAAAGCUCGUAGUUGAAUUUCGGGAUUUAUCCGUCGGUCGGGCUUUUGGGUCUGUACUGGCGUGAUGGAUUCCUACCUUCUGAAUAACCGGCAUGUCAUUAAUUUGGUGCGCCGGGGAAGCAGGACUGUUACCUUGAAAAAAUUAGAGUGCUUAAAGCAGGCUUAUGCCUGAAUACAUUAGCAUGGAAUAAUGAAAUAGGACGGCAUGGUUCUAUUUUGUUGGUUUCUAGGAUCACCGUAAUGAUUAAUAGGGAUAGUUGGGGGCAUUAGUAUUCAAUUGUCAGAGGUGAAAUUCUUGGAUUUAUUGAAGACUAACUUCUGCGAAAGCAUUUGCCAAGGAUGUUUUCAUUAAUCAAGAACGAAAGUUAGGGGAUCGAAGACGAUCAGAUACCGUCGUAGUCUUAACCAUAAACUAUGCCGACUAGGGAUCGGACGAUGUUAAUUUUUAAUGACUCGCUCGGCGCCUUC
This 520-nucleotide ribosomal RNA is filed under the name uncultured Acaulospora. RNAcentral describes it as "SSU rRNA". It matches the Rfam family "Eukaryotic small subunit ribosomal RNA", at positions 569 to 1090 of the family's 1831-position model. The record is from RNAcentral. Lineage: Eukaryota; Fungi; Glomeromycota; Glomeromycetes; Diversisporales; Acaulosporaceae.